This is a long non-coding RNA of Gossypium arboreum, 403 nucleotides long. RefSeq lists it as uncharacterized. The transcript has 2 exons. NCBI's taxonomy places the organism in Eukaryota, Viridiplantae, Streptophyta, Magnoliopsida, Malvales, Malvaceae. The record is from RefSeq and is a predicted model, not a curated record.
CGGGAAAAACAAAGUUUACGAGGAAUAGGCUCGAUUGUUAAAAAUUUUGUACCGAGUUUUAACAAGCCGGCUUGAGAAUUGGGAUAGGUCGAAGACUCGUUCACACUAUCCGAAGGCCUAAAUUGGUAAAAUGGCUUGUGUGUUUUGAAUGUGGCAUGUAUGGCAACAUACUCACUUUGUGUAAAUGAUCUUAUGAUAUGGCUAUGGUUUGGAAAGAAAAGGGUUUGUAAAUGAUUAGCCAUUGGAAUGGCCAAUCUAAGUCAUAUUUGAUGUUAUGUAUGUUUAAAAUGCUAUUUAGUCCAUGAAAAUCCUUAGUAAAGUGAAAUCUGCCAUAAAACAGAAUCUGACAGCAGCAGUGAUGUAAAUUUGAAAAAUCACUAAAAAUGGUAGAAAUGGAAUUAAA